Molecule: long non-coding RNA, 739 nt
Filed under: Homo sapiens (human)
Lineage: Eukaryota; Metazoa; Chordata; Mammalia; Primates; Hominidae
Description: HSALNT0124523
Rfam family: Small nucleolar RNA U13 (bases 159-257)
Source: RNAcentral
GGUUAAAGCAAUUCCCCUGCCUCAGUCUCCUGAGUAGCUGGGACUACAGGCGUACGCCACCACGCCUGGCUAAUUUUUGUAUUUUUAGUAGACACAGAGUUUCGCCAUGAGGGCCAGGUUGGUCUGUAACUCUUGACCUCAAGUGAUCCGCCUGCCUCAGCCUCCCAAAGCACUGGGAGUGUGAUGACUAGGUUUUCACGUGUGAGAUAUGCCUCACUCACACCUUGUUACAACACUGGCACAUUGCCUGUCGGAUGUGAACAAAGACAAAAAAAGACCCUCACGCUCAUAAGGGUGGAACUUGCUGUGACAGAGUUCAUCUUGGCAGUGCUUGCUGAACACUUCCUGAAUCUGGACUUCACUCAUUGUGAGUCUCACAGAGAGAGGUUCUUCAGCUGUGUGCAGAACUGAGGAGAAGGCCUGGAGACAAUGCCAACACCGGGAGACCGCGUGGCACCAGCCUCACGCAUGGAGCCGCCGUGGCUGCCCCGGGAUGAUGAUUUAAGUUUCCCCUCGCCCAUCACUAUAUGCUUCUAUGAAAUGUUUUAAAUUAUUUUUAUUCCUUCAGCAUAAUUAUCAAAUACAUCUUUUAUCUAUUUUUUUCCUUAUGACUUACAGAUUCUGAGAGCUCAGAGCUAUUUCCACUGCCUCACUUCUCAUCCUCACUGCUUCUAGUUUUAAAAUUAGGUCCUGGGUUGCUACCCCCGCUGAGGUUCUCACAAUAAUUAAAGCCUAUUUG